GAUGAACGCUGGCGGCGUGCCUAAUACAUGCAAGUCGAGCGAACAGACGAGGAGCUUGCUCCUCUGACGUUAGCGGCGGACGGGUGAGUAACACGUGGAUAACCUCCCUAUAAGACUGGGAUAACUUCGGGAAACCGGCUCUAAUCCCGGAUAAUAUAUUGCACCGCAUGGUUGAAUAGUGAAAGUCGGUUUUUCUGGCACUUCUAGAUGGAUCUCCGCCGCUUUAGGUGGUUGGUAAGGUAACGGCUUACCACGGCGACGAUGCGUAGCCGACCGGUGAGGGGGGUCGGCGACACUGGAGCGGAGACAGGGACCAGGCUACUACGGGAGGCAGCAGAAGGGAAUCGUCCGCAAUGGGCGGAAGCCUGACAGAGCAAGGCCGCGUGAGUGAUGAAGGUCUUCGGAGCGUAAAGCUCUGUUAUGAGGGAAGAACAAAUGUGUAAGUAACUAUGCACGUCGUGACGGUACCUAAUCAGAAAGCCACGGCUAACUACGUG
This 497-nucleotide ribosomal RNA is filed under the name uncultured bacterium. RNAcentral describes it as "partial 16S ribosomal RNA". It matches the Rfam family "Bacterial small subunit ribosomal RNA", at positions 28 to 507 of the family's 1533-position model. The record is from RNAcentral.